UGGGUACCUGCAUUUCACUGGAAUGGGUUC
This 30-nucleotide non-coding RNA is filed under the name Homo sapiens (human). Lineage: Eukaryota; Metazoa; Chordata; Mammalia; Primates; Hominidae. The record is from RNAcentral.